GCCUGGGUGGCUCAGUCGGUUAAGCGUCUGACUUCGGCUCAGGUCAUAAUCUCACAGUCCGUGGGUUCGAACCCCGCGUUGGGCU
Molecule: transfer RNA, 85 nt
Filed under: Felis catus (domestic cat)
Lineage: Eukaryota; Metazoa; Chordata; Mammalia; Carnivora; Felidae
Rfam family: tRNA
About the family: Transfer RNA (tRNA) molecules are approximately 80 nucleotides in length. Their secondary structure includes four short double-helical elements and three loops (D, anti-codon, and T loops).
Source: Rfam by way of RNAcentral